Molecule: long non-coding RNA, 1853 nt
Organism: Harpia harpyja (harpy eagle)
Lineage: Eukaryota; Metazoa; Chordata; Aves; Accipitriformes; Accipitridae
Exons: 2
Source: RefSeq, a predicted model, not a curated record
GAGGCUUUUGUUCCAACAGGUAAGUUAUCUCUUCCUAUUCCAACUUCUUGCUGUUUCUUCCCAGCAGUGUACUAAAGAUGACGUCUCUUGGCAUACAUGGAGUCAGUGAAUCACAAGAAAAAAAAAACAGGUAAAUUAGGGGAUUGUGUUAGGAUAGAGUCCUGUAUUCCAAGGAUAUGGGGGAGAAGAAAGGGCUACAUGACGUUGAAGCUGUGUGUAUCCAUGGCAGGUAAGAAUCCCAAUGUCACCUUGAAUUGCAUCCAUAUACUGAAAAUAAUUUUCUUGAAAGACAGUUCCUGUCCCUGCUUACCCUGCUCCUCGCAACAAAAACUUAAGAGUAAAAACCUUACUGCCACCUACCCCCAAAUUCUAAUGGUGACAUAAUAAUUAUUGGUCUUGAAAUACUGAUUUUUAAAAUUACUCUUUUAAGGAUUCAGGGGUUAAGAUUCCAGUUUUCUUGACAUCUUCUAAUUCAGAUUUCAAACAGAAAACAGUGAUUGCACCUCUGUCAUUAGUUGUUUUCAUUUAGGAGGUAGUGAACAAAACCCAACAAAAAGCGCCCUCAACAGCUCCCCUCUCUGAAUCCAGACCCCAUAGCUCUUUAUUUUCACUAGACAGCUCAAUAUAUAUUGGGUAUUCAUGUACAGCAGAUAUAGACCACAUUGUGGAAACACAACAGGUCCACUGAAACACAGAGAACUCCGAGGAAGAGCUCCAGUACAUCAACAUCUGCUCAACAUAUAUGUAAAACUGCUGGGAAAGAUGAAGAAACAAUUUAUAGCUCAGUGCCUUCAGUAGCUGGAAGGCAUACAACUAAUGGAUCUUUUCCCCAUUAGACCAAGCAGUCUCUGGAAGUUUUUCAGCCUUUGCGCUGCCACAGUGGUUGAUUGUUAGCAGAAGUGUCUGUACCAGUUUCUAGACGUGAAUGCCCGAGAAGCAGCAAAAACCUUUGCAAUGGAAAUUCCCCUUUGGAAUUUGCUUGGUUUAACCCAGGGUAUGGUUAGCUGAUCCUCACAGCACUGUGCAAGGCUCAUCCACUUUCCUAAGGGUUUGUGUUCAAUUAAAAGACUUAGCUUCCCCCCAACACUGGGUCUCCAAGAUGAUCUAAUUGAAAUAAUUCUUAGAUGAUUUUCCUCUCUUCAACAUUAGAAAGAAGCAUAAUACGUAUUUUUUUCUUUCUACUGAAGACUAGAUUCUUAAAGCAAAUGAAAACCUGGCUGUGCUUCUAGUGCUCUUUUUAUACAGUUAAACCACUGUUGCUGUCUUUGAAGUACUGUCCAGGAAGAAAUCUCUAGCACACUUUUUCAAAAAGAGAGACUGUCACUGGCAACUCCCUCUUCAGGAUCAGUUUUACAGCUUCUCUUACUUGCAGUCCAAGGAAAAGGUCAUGAAAAUGAGUGGGACUGAACACCAGUGCAAAACUGCAAGUCAUACAUUAAAGCUAGAUCUCAAAACUUCUAAAAAGGUAGAGACAGACGAACAAAGAAUUUCUGAUCAAGAGAACCACUAAUUUUACAUUGUCAAAAGUCUCAGAAAAUAUCACAAUCUUGUUAUCUGCCAUGGGAUGCCAUGUACAAAGACAUGGGAAUAAAACUUUUGUCUUAAUCCAAACGGACAUCACAAAGUAAGAAAAAACCUGGGAGAGACAAAGUGGUUCACAACAUAUCAUUUGCCUGUACAGCGAGGGACACACACCCGCCCUCCUAAUUGUCAAUCCAGUGUCCUAUAUUCUAGUGACACACUACCUCUCAUGAGCAGAAUAAUUAACCAGAAGAGAAGAGGAGGCACAUGAUCAGAUCCUACAGCUUUCUAUUAUUUAGGAUGAAUGGAAAUAAAGGGAAACACUUUCAAAA